Molecule: long non-coding RNA, 1809 nt
Organism: Diceros bicornis minor
Lineage: Eukaryota; Metazoa; Chordata; Mammalia; Perissodactyla; Rhinocerotidae
Exons: 3
Source: RefSeq, a predicted model, not a curated record
AGAAACUAGAGCCUGUCAUCAGAAUUGCCAAACACACACCUGGUCCAGGAGUCAGAGACGCUUAGCAAGGAUCUAUGGAAGGUGUAGCAGUUGGAGGCUCCACUGCUGCUUCACAAUAAUGAGGUGAGCUAGCAGUUGUUAUGACAACUACAGUGAACACUGGGAUUUCAUGUUGUUAUGGAAAGAAGAGUGCUCUCCCUCCAAGCCCUAAGCCCACCUCUUCAAACCAAGAAAGAAACAACCCGAUGAAUGUAAAAAGAACAUGAGACUAUCAUUUGUGUGUCAUCAUCAGAAACCUCUCCUAUAUUCAUGAAGCUGAGGAGUUUUAGCUGAAAACGAUAGAGGUGGAAGAGAAGGAAGGGGACACAGAUGAGCCACUAUUCACAUUGUGGCUGUUCAUCCUGGGAAAACUAAUUCUUCCCUGUAAGGAGAAGAGAAAAGGUGCCAGAUUAAUUAAGAAUUUAGUAGUUCAAAUGAGGACUAUCAAAUGUGAGCAUUCAGAUUAAAUAAUCUUUUGUAAAAUAAAUUUGCUGUAGAAUAAGGGGAAGAAUUUGAGGGUGGGGGAGCUAAUUUUAGUCAGAUUCAAAAGGAUCCUAUAUUAAUUUUUUUUAAAGUGCAGACUUCUACAAAAAAGUAGUAAUCGGGAAACAAUAAAUAGGUCUUGAAAAUAAAAAGAAGAGUGACUAUGAGAUAUUCUUCCAGAAAUGUAGUGCAUAAACUCCAAGAGUUGGGAAUUCGAGAGAAAAGUCAAGAGGCAGAAAAGAUUGAGGCAGGAGAAGGAAUAUUGUUAUUAUAGGAGUUCCAGAAGGAUAAAAUACUAUACAUGAAUGAAAAGCAAUAAUCAAAGAAAGAAAAGAAGACAAUUUCUCUGAGGUGAAGGAUUCAGUCUUUACAUGGAGAAGGCUUACCCAAAACUGGGCAGGUAUAAUGAAAAGAAAUCAUACUCAGAUGGUUUUCUAUGUCCUAGAUAAAGAACAAGUGUUGGAAGCAGCCAACUGGAAAAAAAAAAGGUUGCUAAAAAGAAAAAAGUUUGAAUGACAUUAGACUUAUUAUUUGCAACACUAAUGCUAGAAAACCUCAGAGAAAAUGUACAGACUCUGAAGAAAAAGCAUUAUAUUCCAAGAAUUAUAUACCAAACCAAGCUAUUAUCUAAAUACAAGGGCAAAUGAAAGCCUGGUUCAGAUUUGUAAAAAUUCAGAAAUUAUAUGACUCAUGUACGCUUUUUGAAAAAUAUAACCUAAAGUAGACCUUCAAGAAAAAACUAAUCAGGUGGCUGACCCAGUGGCUUAGCAGUUAAGUUUGCAUACUCUGCUUUGGGGGCCCAGAGUUUGUAGAUUUGGAUCCUGGGUGUGGACCGACGCCCCGCUUGUUAAGCCAUGCUGUGGCGGCAUCCCAUAUAAAGUAGAGGAAGAUGGGCACGGAUGUUAGCCCAGGGCCAAUCUUCCUCAGCAAAAAGAGGAGGAUUUGCAUUGGAUGUUAGCUCACGGCUAACCUUCCUCACAAAAAAAAAAAAAAAAAAAAAGAAAAAUCUAAUCAAAAUAAGGAAUUUAAUAAAGAUAAAGACAUGUUUUAGAAAAAAGAGCAGUGAGCAACAAAAAUUUAGAUUUAAGUCUAAAGAAUUGUUUGCAUGUGGUUGUGAAACUAAGUACAAUUUAUAAUAAAGAGUUUUAAAAAGAAAAUUGUCUAUCAUAAAAAAAUCUCCCUAGAGAUGUAGGAUGAAGAGAGAGGUGGAAAAGAGGAAGUAAAAUGUGAUAAAGUUUUUAUGUCAAACGAGGAGGGUCCAUAUUUGUAACUGCAUUCUUAACAUUG